Non-coding RNA from Macaca mulatta (Rhesus monkey), 1188 nucleotides. The record is from RefSeq and is a predicted model, not a curated record. NCBI's taxonomy places the organism in Eukaryota, Metazoa, Chordata, Mammalia, Primates, Cercopithecidae.
UAUUUGUCAUGAUUUUUGUCUUUCAAGCAGCCACCUGAGGGCCAAACUGAUGCUCAGGGAGAUGGAGUAGCUUCGUCCAUCACAGAUAGUGGGACUCUGUGCUCAUGCCAGUAAGUAAAGAAGAAGGAAUAAGACAGACACUGUGUGAUCUAGUAUUAAUAAGGAAGUAAGUGAUCAAAUUACUCCAGCUAGAUCGGUAGAAUCUAUUAUCAAGCACGUUGAGGCCGAUAGCAUUCACAAAUCAAGUGUCUACGUUUAUACUCACUGAUGACUCGUGUUUCCUUUCGAGGACAAGUAAGCUUUUUAAAUCAUCAAGACGUUUACAUUAGUUUUGCUCUUCAAUGGCCUUUUUAAAAAAAAAAAUCCAAAGGCAGAAGUUAAAUUUAAAAGAGCUUUCCAUGUGACUACCCCAAAGAGAGAUUAUCAAUCACCAAGUUAAAUAUUUGUAUACAAAAUAAUAUCUGGAUGCGUAGAUUCUUACGUUCAUCAGAUGAAGAGUGAAAGAGUUAUUAGUCACCAUGCUUUAUUUACACCCCUGUCAAAAUUACAUGAAAAUAUUUCUCUCCAAAGAACCAUUCUAGAGAACCCUUUCAUACAAAGUGGUGUGUGUACAUCUAAGAGGUUGCUCAGUUUAGCUCAAAGGCUGAAGAGUCUAGUAAACUGAGUUCCACCACGUCGUGACUUUUAAGUGGUAGGUUACCACCAGAAAGAGACGACUUCAAGCACAGAUUUCUAGCAGCAAGGCCAGGAUUAAAAACCCAUGUGACAACCGGCUUCAGAGAGAGGAACAAUCCAUUCCUAAUUCAAAGGCCAUCAAGCCCGAGUUGUAAGAACAUUUUUGACUCUGAGAAUCUUCUCUUUUUACCAAGAAAAUCCCUUACAGUCAUGGUUUAACAUCCUAAAUUAAGGAACAGAAGAAACCAAAUUAAUUUUUAAUUUAUACUCCGCUUAUACAUGUUUUCAGUCAUCCACCACUGCAGGAUGUACACUGAACGGUACAAGUCAUGUGCAUCAUUUUCAUCAGACAACCUCAUCUACCAAAAUGGUGAUAACACAAUCUUAUUUUGAAGCCAAAAGAGAGUUAUAAACAUCAAUCGUUUUCAGAUAUGCUUUAAACAUGUUCAAAAGUAACAUCAUUAUUUUAAGUUAUAGCACAAUCAUUAAAGGAAAAAAGAACCCAAGAACAAA